This 2542-nucleotide long non-coding RNA is filed under the name Daucus carota (carrot). Its description in RNAcentral is "long non-coding RNA (DCAR_LNC002367)". Lineage: Eukaryota; Viridiplantae; Streptophyta; Magnoliopsida; Apiales; Apiaceae. The record is from RNAcentral.
GCUCUUUGGAGUCUUUUUUAAUUAGAGUACUUGGAGACCUAAUCUACAACCAUUAGAUUAAAACAGAGAUCAACGGCAGAUUUGGGGGACAGCUGUCACUUUUUUUUUGAAUGAGAAACUGCUAGAUAGAUACGUUUUCGUACAAGACCGUAUAAACUGCAUGUAUCCAAAAUCGUAGGACCAUGUAAAUCGGCAUUCUAGUGACAGUUACCAAUCAAGUGUUCCCCUAAACUCAGUCCCCCAAAUCAAAACCAUAGACACGGCUGAGAAGCAAGCGUGAGGAGGACAACGGGAUCCUUUUGAUAAGUGUUUACACAUCAGAGAUUGUUUCGAAAACGAGAAAUGAGUUCAGGUCAGUGUAUUUCAAAUUGAGUUGGAAAGUAGUUUACUGCUAAUCUUUCGUGUAUUUUACGAUUAUUAUGCUUUAAUUUUGCUUAGAUUGUACUUGCAAGUCAUUAUACAGUGUGAACAUGGUGAGAUUUCUGUAAUAGUAGACAAUGGUAUGGUCGAUUUGUUUGUGGGUAAUGUUUGUUUAAUUGUUCAUUGUCACUUUGUUAAUCGUUUCUCGGCUUGAUGCGGGGGACGGAGUAAUUGGAUUAGUCUAUGAUACUAGUGUCAAUUCAAGUAAUAGAUUCCUCACUUGGUAGGUAUGUGUAUGAAAUUAGAAAAUGAAUGAAUUUAAGCACUAUAGUACCCCUUAGUCUGCUGAUUGGGGUUUAUCUGAAAAUUGGUGAGGAACCUGUUUUUGGUAAAUAUAUGUUUUGUGUUGAUUGUGGGUUAUCUUUAUUUAGUUUGAAUUUCCUGCCAAGUUUAGCAAGACUAGAUGAGACCGUGCGUUUGUUUAAUUGUUUGUGCUGAUUGGGCUUGCAUUGUUCUCGAGGUCUUGCAAAUUGGUGGGGAACAACAGCCAUGAGCUCAGGUUUUUUUACACAAUGCACUUUGAUAUGUAUAUCUGGACCUGCAUAUGUAAUCCAAUUGUGUUGUAGAGUUUCGAUUGUCUCUUUGUUUUCAUUCUGAAUUGUUCCUUGCUUACUUCUUUCAUGUCUAUUCUAUUGAUGAUACAGUGGCCUGUGAAUGUCUAUUCGAAUUCUUAAAAGUGGCGAGCAUUCUUUUGCUUGUUUGUUUACUAAAAUUUCAUAAAACCUUUUGGAAGAUAGAAAUGAGUUAUUGUUCGUUAAAUGAUGAUGCAUGCCUAAAAUCCGGUUAUUAAUUUGGUUGUAGAGAGGUCCAGUAAAACAAGGUCCAGUAAAAUGUAAUUGGUUAUAAGGAUUAACAAAAAAACUCAUUCUUGCUUAUUUGAAUCUGAAUGACUAAAAUGAAUUUUUUAAAGUCUUUAAUUUAUAACUUGUUUCAUUUACCUAUUUGUAGAACGACGGAGAAGCGCAAGACUCAUCGAGAGUCCUUGGGUCUACAACUGGCCCAAACAGGCUCCAAUUUAUGUUAAUUUAGUUGAUGAGGAGGAGGAAUCAUUUGCUGGACAACAUAAUUCAAUAAACCAGGCGCUGGAUCCGGUAAACAAAACUUGAAGUGGAGUAGGAAAUAAAAGUUGGACGACCCUUGAAAGUUUGGAUUUGAGAACGGAGGGGGUGAUGGGGAAAACAAGACAAGAUGAGGUUUUUAGUGGCGAGGAACACGACUUUGUUGCCCCUGCUGAACAAUUUGGGAAGAGCAAAUACUCUAGAUUGCAGACUCAUGAACCGGAAGAUAUGAAGAAGAUGGUUACAUUUGGUGCUUGUCAGAAAGCUGAUAAGAUAAUUGAGAAAAGAACUAGACAAGCAGAGGUACAUGAAAAUUAACAUUAAAAUAUUAUUUUAUGCCUUGCCUGUUUUUUUCAGAACUAUUAAUCAAACUUUAAAACUGUAGUCGUGCAGGGAACAAUGAAAUCUAAUAUGGAUGCUGCAAUUGAUGAGGGUAGUCAAAGAGGAUCAGGACACAAAGUUAUUGCUAAAAAGGGGAUAAAGCUCAGUAUAGGUGGUGUUGGGAACUUUGCAAUAUUAAGAUAUCCGUUUAAACGGACGGAAGGGGGUAAAAUCUAUCCACCUGCUAAAAAUCCCAAAAUACAAAAGGUUAGAUCGAACGAUGGAUAUAUACAAAAGAAGUUCUCUCCUUAAAUAAUGACUCUUUUAUCUUGUUUAUUUGUCUUGAAAACACAUUUCUCAGGACUGGUAAAUUUAUUUCCUAUUGUUUAUUUGUCCCUCUUGACUUACUUUGUGUAAGAUGCCUUUGCAGGACAACCAGAAGGCAGUGCUGAACAAGCUAUGAAUCUUCUAUGCACAUAAAAGAGUCAAUCUAUAAACAGUAAGAAGAAGACGGUGACUAGCGGAGCAACAUACCUGGCCAAGGGGAAGAAAGUUGUUGGAUAGUCAAUCAUAAAAAAUUCACAUAUAAUGUAGGCAAGCAAGUAAUUUGCAAACUGAUUCCUUGAGAUGUUUAAAGGAUCUUAUGAAAGUGUGUUUGGUUUGAUUUGUCACGAAAAACAUAAUGACCUGAAGAAUCUCUUUUUUUAUAAAAAAUUGCAUUUGUAUUUAAAAAUGUUGAAAGC